Molecule: ribosomal RNA, 1444 nt
Filed under: uncultured marine cyanobacterium
Lineage: Bacteria; Bacillati; Cyanobacteriota
Description: bacterial SSU rRNA
Rfam family: Bacterial small subunit ribosomal RNA
Source: RNAcentral
GAGUUUGAUCCUGGCUCAGGAUGAACGCUGGCGGCGUGCUUAACACAUGCAAGUCGAACGAACCUUCGGGUUAGUGGCGGACGGGUGAGUAACGCGUGGGAAUCUGCCCUCAGGAGGGGGAUAACGGUUGGAAACGACCGCUAAUACCCCAUAUGCCGAGAGGUGAAAUGAAUUUCGCCUGAGGAUGAGCCCGCGUCUGAUUAGCUUGUUGGUGAGGUAAUGGCUCACCAAGGCAUCGAUCAGUAGCUGGUCUGAGAGGAUGAUCAGCCACACUGGGACUGAGACACGGCCCAGACUCCUACGGGAGGCAGCAGUGGGGAAUUUUCCGCAAUGGGCGAAAGCCUGACGGAGCAACGCCGCGUGAGGGACGAAGGCCUCUGGGCUGUAAACCUCUUUUCUCAAGGAAGAAGAUAUGACGGUACUUGAGGAAUAAGCCACGGCUAAUUCCGUGCCAGCGGCCGCGGUAAUACGGGAGUGGCAAGCGUUAUCCGGAAUUAUUGGGCGUAAAGCGUCCGCAGGCGGCCUUUCAAGUCUGCUGUUAAAACGUGAGCUCAACUCCAUCAUGGCAGUGGAAACUGAUUGGCUUGAGUAUGGUAGGGGCAGAGGGAAUUCCCGGUGUAGCGGUGAAAUGCGUAGAUAUCGGGAAGAACACCAGUGGCGAAGGCGCUCUGCUGGGCCAUUACUGACGCUCAUGGACGAAAGCCAGGGGAGCGAAAGGGAUUAGAUACCCCUGUAGUCCUGGCCGUAAACGAUGAACACUAGGUGUCGGGGGAAUCGACCCCUUCGGUGUCGUAGCUAACGCGUUAAGUGUUCCGCCUGGGGAGUACGCACGCAAGUGUGAAACUCAAAGGAAUUGACGGGGGCCCGCACAAGCGGUGGAGUAUGUGGUUUAAUUCGAUGCAACGCGAAGAACCUUACCAGGGCUUGACAUCCUGCGAACCUUUAAGAAAUUAGAGGGUGCCUUCGGGAACGCAGUGACAGGUGGUGCAUGGCUGUCGUCGGCUCGUGUCGUGAGAUGUUGGGUUAAGUCCCGCAACGAGCGCAACCCACGUUUUUAGUUGCCAGCAUUUAGUUGGGCACUCUAGAAAGACCGCCGGUGAUAAACCGGAGGAAGGUGUGGAUGACGUCAAGUCAUCAUGCCCCUUACGUCCUGGGCUACACACGUACUACAAUACUACGGACAAAGGGCAGCAAACUCGCGAGAGCUAGCAAAUCCCAUAAACCGUGGCUCAGUUCAGAUCGUAGGCUGCAACUCGCCUACGUGAAGUAGGAAUCGCUAGUAAUCGCAGGUCAGCAUACUGCGGUGAAUACGUUCCCGGGCCUUGUACACACCGCCCGUCACACCAUGGAAGUUGGCCACGCCCGAAGUCGUUACUUUAACCCUUGUGGAGAAGGACGCCGAAGGUGGGGCUGAUGACUGGGGUGAAGUCGUAACAAGGUAACC